This 1608-nucleotide long non-coding RNA is filed under the name Homo sapiens (human). RNAcentral describes it as "HSALNT0385839". The record is from RNAcentral. Lineage: Eukaryota; Metazoa; Chordata; Mammalia; Primates; Hominidae.
GGCUGAGCCAUCACCCAGCACCAGGUUCCGGUGAGGACCAUAGCAACUCCUGUCCGCACUUUGCAUACUUACAUUAGUUUCCUGAAGAAUUCUCCCAUUGUGCCUUGCCCGACAUCUGAGAGCAGUGAGUGGUCUGCCUGGCAUUGAAAAGGAAAAAGUUUCUGGAAGACCCACCUGGGGCUAGAAGCCUUGAAGUUGCUAAUCGCCCCAGAGCACUGCUGCUUGACCACCUACCAGCUGUGAUUUCUGGGGUCUUGAAGACACAAAUAGCUCGAAUCUGAAAUAAAACCCCGGCAGCCCUCCUCCCCUGGCCCUCAGCGGCGGCCUGUCUGAUUGGAUGCCUCCCACAGCCCUGAAGACCAGAGCUUCAAGGAGGAAGCCGCCAGGGACACGCUGAGUCCUCGCUUCUUAAAGUGCGCCCCUGGGGCCAGGCAGCCCCUUCCCUUUGGGGAUUUGAACCCCUGGAGCCCGUUUCCCUACAAGGUGGUCCUUCUCUGGCCAGUGAAGCCUGCCUAAUGCACCCUGGGGAGGCUGAUGCCUUAAGCAAAGUGGCUCGAGCCGGCCCUGCUGAAGCUGAUCCCAGCUGGCCUGGAGCGGGUCCAAUGCAAAUGUCACCACCUCUGCAAGUACCCCUGUGACUCCUCCAGAGAAGACUGUGAGCUCCAAAGACAUCAUCAUUGUGAGGAGAGUAGCUUUGCGCUCAGUUACCUGCCACAGAAAGGUUCUGCUGCCAAGCAGGGAGUUGAAGGGAUCUGCAGACAGCCUGCCUGUGUUGGUCUGGAAGCCCAUGCUCUUUGAGGGUCAGGAGAUUCAAGACCAGGUGGCAUCUUCUGCAGAGGACACCACUUUCCAAAGACAUGGCUUGGUUCUUCAUAGAUGAUAGGUCUUGGGGGAGCUCUGGGAAAAACUAAGGCAAACUUGGUUGCUACAUUUCUUGGAGAAAGAGGAAAGGGUGGGUUAGAACUAGCUCGAUGUAGGGUAGAAAAGAGGAGGUAUGUUAGCUGGAGUUGCAGUUGCAGUAAUGGCAGUGAGGAAUGAAUGUUCUUUGAUUCUGAAGGCAUCACAAGGAGAGAAGAGCUGAGGGCAGUAGGAGGAUCCCAUCCUGCAAUAUGGAGACCCAGAAGCCACUGCCCCUUGGCCCUUCUAGAAUUCUGACCAAUACUAACAUUUGCCCAGCUUGACUAAACUUUAGACAGGUUUCUUCCUGAUGAUAGGCCCUUGGCCUCCUUUUCCUUAGAGCAUUUCCUCUAGAAAACUUGGAUUUGUAAAUUUUUUCUCUGCCCCUUUGAGAUGUAAAUCUCUCAGUCUCUUGCUAGUUUUACAAUCCAGGAAUGUUUUUCUCAAGGACCUGGGAGGACCCUUUGAAAUGUAAUCAUCAAGAAAGAUUGUACCUUGUCUCUCAGUCUCUGUGAGAGGAUGGGAGCCUAACAUUUAUAAGUGCGAAUUAGCAACACAGACAGCCUAAUCAUAUUAACUAAUUCCCCCACCCCCUUAAUGUCCUUGGGUAGUUCUCACUAGCUUAUCCCAGCACUUCAAAACCAUCCCGCCUUUUGUUUCAGGAGAGUUAAGUUCAAUCUCUCUCCCCUACUGCAACUACCUUGAGUAAAG